GACGAACGCUGGCGGCGUGCUUAACACAUGCAAGUCGAACGGAAAGGCCCUGCUUUUGUGGGGUGCUCGAGUGGCGAACGGGUGAGUAACACGUGAGUAACCUGCCCUUGACUUUGGGAUAACUUCAGGAAACUGGGGCUAAUACCGGAUAGGAGCUCCUGCUGCAUGGUGGGGGUUGGAAAGUUUCGGCGGUUGGGGAUGGACUCGCGGCUUAUCAGCUUGUUGGUGGGGUAGUGGCUUACCAAGGCUUUGACGGGUAGCCGGCCUGAGAGGGUGACCGGCCACAUUGGGACUGAGAUACGGCCCAGACUCCUACGGGAGGCAGCAGUGGGGAAUAUUGCACAAUGGGCGGAAGCCUGAUGCAGCAACGCCGCGUGCGGGAUGACGGCCUUCGGGUUGUAAACCGCUUUCGCCUGUGACGAAGCGUGAGUGACGGUAAUGGGUAAAGAAGCACCGGCUAACUACGUGCCAGCAGCCGCGGUGAUACGUAGGGUGCGAGCGUUGUCCGGAUUUAUUGGGCGUAAAGGGCUCGUAGGUGGUUGAUCGCGUCGGAAGUGUAAUCUUGGGGCUUAACCCUGAGCGUGCUUUCGAUACGGGUUGACUUGAGGAAGGUAGGGGAGAAUGGAAUUCCUGGUGGAGCGGUGGAAUGCGCAGAUAUCAGGAGGAACACCAGUGGCGAAGGCGGUUCUCUGGGCCUUUCCUGACGCUGAGGAGCGAAAGCGUGGGGAGCGAACAGGCUUAGAUACCCUGGUAGUCCACGCUGUAAACGGUGGGUACUAGGUGUGGGGUCCAUUCCACGGGUUCCGUGCCGUAGCUAACGCUUUAAGUACCCCGCCUGGGGAGUACGGCCGCAAGGCUAAAACUCAAAGGAAUUGACGGGGCCCCGCACAAGCGGCGGAGCAUGCGGAUUAAUUCGAUGCAACGCGUAGAACCUUACCUGGGUUUGACAUGGAUCGGGAGUGCUCAGAGAUGGGUGUGCCUCUUUUGGGGUCGGUUCACAGGUGGUGCAUGGCUGUCGUCAGCUCGUGUCGUGAGAUGUUGGGUUAAGUCCCGCAACGAGCGCAACCCUUGUUCACUGUUGCCAGCACGUUAUGGUGGGGACUCAGUGGAGACCGCCGGGGUCAACUCGGAGGAGGGUGGGGAUGACGUCAAGUCAUCAUGCCCCUUAUGUCCAGGGCUUCACGCAUGCUACAAUGGCUGGUACAGAGAGUGGCGAGCCUGUGAGGGUGAGCGAAUCUCGGAAAGCCGGUCUCAGUUCGGAUCGGGGUCUGCAACUCGACCUCAUGAAGUCGGAGUCGCUAGUAAUCGCAGAUCAGCAACGCUGCGGUGAAUACGUUCCCGGGGCU
RNAcentral lists this ribosomal RNA (1346 nucleotides) under uncultured bacterium. RNAcentral describes it as "partial 16S ribosomal RNA". It matches the Rfam family "Bacterial small subunit ribosomal RNA", at positions 28 to 1381 of the family's 1533-position model. The record is from RNAcentral.